RNAcentral lists this ribosomal RNA (468 nucleotides) under uncultured bacterium. Its description in RNAcentral is "partial 16S ribosomal RNA". It matches the Rfam family "Bacterial small subunit ribosomal RNA", at positions 28 to 507 of the family's 1533-position model. The record is from RNAcentral.
GACGAACGCUGGCGGCGUGCUUAACACAUGCAAGUCGAACGGAAAGGCCCUGCUUUUGUGGGGUGCUCGAGUGGCGAACGGGUGAGUAACACGUGAGUAACCUGCCCUUGACUUUGGGAUAACUUCAGGAAACUGGGGCUAAUACCGGAUAGGAGCUCCUGCUGCAUGGUGGGGGUUGGAAAGUUUCGGCGGUUGGGGAUGGACUCGCGGCUUAUCAGCUUGUUGGUGGGGUAGUGGCUUACCAAGGCUUUGACGGGUAGCCGGCCUGAGAGGGUGACCGGCCACAUUGGGACUGAGAUACGGCCCAGACGCCUACGGGAGGCAGCAGGGGGGAAUAUUGCACAGUGGGCGGAAGCCUGAUGCAGCAACGCCGCGUGCGGGAUGACGGCCUUCGGGUUGUAAACCGCUUUCGCCUGUGACGAAGCGUGAGUGACGGUAAUGGGUAAAGAAGCACCGGCUAACUACGUG